This 253-nucleotide ribosomal RNA is filed under the name uncultured bacterium. RNAcentral's name for it is "partial 16S ribosomal RNA". It matches the Rfam family "Bacterial small subunit ribosomal RNA", at positions 524 to 776 of the family's 1533-position model. The record is from RNAcentral.
UACGAAGGGGACUAGCGUUGUUCGGAGUCACUGGGCGUAAAGCGCACGUAGGCGGAUAUGUCAGUCAGGGGUGAAAUCCCGGGGCUCAACCUCGGAACUGCCUUUGAUACAGCAUAUCUUGAGUCCGAUAGAGGUGGGUGGAAUUCCUAGUGUAGAGGUGAAAUUCGUAGAUAUUAGGAAGAACACCGGUGGCGAAGGCGGCCCACUGGAUCGGUACUGACGCUGAGGUGCGAAAGCGUGGGGAGCAAACAGG